UGACCAUCUCUAGUUAUAGUGAUGCCAUAUUAAAACCAUGUACUAUAGCCCGUGUUCAAACUAGAGGACAAUCCAUGCCCACCCAAAUAAAGGCCAUUAUUUAAAAGGGGACCCCUUGUCUAACAGAUUUGGUCAGUUCAGAUGUGAUCCAUUUGUGGGGGUUCAGAAGAUUAGCACCAUGUUGCAGUAUUGGUCUAUUCUAGCUUUUUGGUCAACAACUGGUUGCUAUUCAUCCUCAGGCCUCACUGUCAUAAGACAGAAUGCUUUACAGAUGUAUUUGUGGCUUAUAAAAAUAGUAAUAAAUGACACAUAACUGCCAGGGGAUAGAGGCAGAGGUGUAGAGGGCUCAGUGGAGCCAAGUUCUGAUCCAAAUGAUCCAAAUUAUGGAAAAACUCCUUAUCUGCAAAACCUCAGGUCCCGAUUCUUUUGGAUAAUCGGUCCCAUGCCUGUAUUAAAAUACGUAAUUGUUUUGAAAACAUGCCGUGACUUGUCUUAACAUGUGCAGUCCAAUACAAAAGGAUUUCCUAGACUAAAAGGCCCACCAAACAGAAUAUUUUAGAAGUUAAACAACAUAGGUGACACACUUUUACGCACCCACAGAAAAUAGGGAAUUAGAAUUAACCUGAACUGGUUAAUGAAAAGGUUUGCAUAGGCAUUUAAAAUGUAGCCACAAGGACUCUAGCAAGCAGCAGGUCAUGGCUAAUUUCUUGUAGCACAGAACCCCACGUGGUAUUUGUGAUACUCUUGCCUACAGUAUGAUGUCAGUAACUGUACAAUGAAGACAAUUCCGUUUUUCCUCACUGCAGCAUGAUCAUGUGGUUGGCAAACAGUGGCAUCAUCCUAUUUCAGUUUCUAAUUUCAACAUAACACCAGACCAAGACUUUUUAGAGCCCUGUGAUUGAACCUUUUUCGGUGUAGCCAAAGAUAUGGGAUACCAGGAGAUCCAAGGUUUUGCUGGCACUUGACUGUUCUGCUGGAAAAUCUGAGGCAACUCCACCCAAACCUCUUUUUUGCAUGAUAGAAGAAAUAUAAUUCUAAGCAACUUUCCACUGAGAAAACUUAACACCAAGGAAAUGCCAACAAUGAAUAAAACCAGCAUGGGCUGUUUGCUUUCAUGGUGAUCUCUGCCAGAUGCAAAACGGAUGAUGUUUGGAUCAACUUGUGCGCCUC
Xenopus tropicalis (tropical clawed frog) is the source of this 1170-nucleotide long non-coding RNA. RefSeq lists it as uncharacterized. The transcript has 3 exons. The record is from RefSeq and is a predicted model, not a curated record. NCBI's taxonomy places the organism in Eukaryota, Metazoa, Chordata, Amphibia, Anura, Pipidae.